Molecule: ribosomal RNA, 465 nt
Filed under: uncultured bacterium
Lineage: Bacteria
Description: partial 16S ribosomal RNA
Rfam family: Bacterial small subunit ribosomal RNA
Source: RNAcentral
GACGAACGCUGGCGGCGUGCUUAACACAUGCAAGUCGUACGGUAAGGCCCUUUCGGGGGUACACGAGUGGCGAACGGGUGAGUAACACGUGAGUAACCUGCCCACAACUUUGGGAUAACGCUAGGAAACUGGUGCUAAUACUGGAUAUGUGCCCCUGCUGCAUGGUGGGGGUUGGAAAGCUCCGGCGGUUGUGGAUGGACUCGCGGCCUAUCAGCUUGUUGGUGGGGUAGUGGCCUACCAAGGCGGCGACGGGUAGCCGGCCUGAGAGGGUGACCGGCCACAUUGGGACUGAGAUACGGCCCAGACUCCUACGGGAGGCAGCAGUGGGGAAUAUUGCAAAAUGGGGGCAAGCCUGAUGCAGCAACGCCGCGUGCGGGAUGACGGCCUUCGGGUUGUAAACCGCUUUCAGCAGGGACGAAGCUUUUUGUGACGGUACCUGCAGAAGAAGCACCGGCUAACUACGUG